UGGCUCACGUGGUGGGUCAUCGUUUACACACAUAGUGAGAAGGAAGUAUCUCCCCAUAGGAAGCAUGAAGAUUCUUCAGUAAAGGGAAGACAAGUAACUGGGUUCCCCAAAUAGACCCUCCUAAAAUACUUUCAAAGUCUAAUUGUAGGUAAAUAUAAAACAAGU
RNAcentral lists this small RNA (165 nucleotides) under Dasypus novemcinctus (nine-banded armadillo). RNAcentral's name for it is "7SK RNA (ENSDNOG00000030054.1)". Lineage: Eukaryota; Metazoa; Chordata; Mammalia; Cingulata; Dasypodidae. The record is from RNAcentral.